Molecule: ribosomal RNA, 434 nt
Filed under: uncultured bacterium
Lineage: Bacteria
Description: partial 16S ribosomal RNA
Rfam family: Bacterial small subunit ribosomal RNA
Source: RNAcentral
AGCGAACGCUGGCGGCAGGCCUAACACAUGCAAGUCGAACGAACCUUUCGGGGUUAGUGGCGGACGGGUGAGUAACACGUGGGAACGUGCCUUUAGGUUCGGAAUAACUCAGGGAAACUUGUGCUAAUACCGAAUGUGCCCUUCGGGGGAAAGAUUUAUCGCCUUUAGAGCGGCCCGCGUCUGAUUAGCUAGUUGGUUGAGGUAUUGGCUCACCAAGGCGACGAUCAGUAGCUGGUCUGAGAGGAUGAUCAGCCACAUUGGGACUGAGACACGGCCCAAACUCCUACGGGAGGCAGCAGUGGGGAAUCUUGCGCAAUGGGCGAAAGCCUGACGCAGCCAUGCCGCGUGAAUGAUGAAGGUCUUAGGAUUGUAAAAUUCUUUCACCGGGGACGAUAAUGACGGUACCCGGAGAAGAAGCCCCGGCUAACUUCGUG